This 253-nucleotide ribosomal RNA is filed under the name uncultured bacterium. RNAcentral describes it as "partial 16S ribosomal RNA". It matches the Rfam family "Bacterial small subunit ribosomal RNA", at positions 524 to 776 of the family's 1533-position model. The record is from RNAcentral.
UACGAAGGGUGCAAGCGUUACUCGGAAUUACUGGGCGUAAAGCGUGCGUAGGUGGUUCGUUAAGUCUGAUGUGAAAGCCCUGGGCUCAACCUGGGAAUGGCAUUGGAUACUGGCGACCUAGAGUGCGGUAGAGGGGUGUGGAAUUCCCGGUGUAGCAGUGAAAUGCGUAGAUAUCGGGAGGAACAUCUGUGGCGAAGGCGACACCCUGGACCAGUACCGACGUUCAGGCACGAAAGCGUGGGGAGCAAACAGG